This 2378-nucleotide ribosomal RNA is filed under the name Listeria monocytogenes. RNAcentral's name for it is "partial 23S ribosomal RNA". It matches the Rfam family "Bacterial large subunit ribosomal RNA", at positions 408 to 2784 of the family's 2925-position model. The record is from RNAcentral. Lineage: Bacteria; Bacillati; Bacillota; Bacilli; Caryophanales; Listeriaceae.
CUGAGUACGGCGGAACACGUGAAAUUCCGUCGGAAUCCGGGAGGACCAUCUCCCAAGGCUAAAUACUCCCUAGUGACCGAUAGUGAACCAGUACCGUGAGGGAAAGGUGAAAAGCACCCCGGAAGGGGAGUGAAACAGUUCCUGAAACCGUGUGCCUACAAGUAGUUAGAGCCCGUUAAUGGGUGAUAGCGUGCCUUUUGUAGAAUGAACCGGCGAGUUACGAUUUGUUGCAAGGUUAAGCGGAAAAAGCGGAGCCGUAGCGAAAGCGAGUCUGAAUAGGGCGCAUAAGUAACAGGUCGUAGACCCGAAACCAGGUGAUCUACCCAUGUCCAGGAUGAAGGUAAGGUAAUACUUACUGGAGGUCCGAACCCACGCACGUUGAAAAGUGCGGGGAUGAGGUGUGGGUAGCGGAGAAAUUCCAAUCGAACUUGGAGAUAGCUGGUUCUCUCCGAAAUAGCUUUAGGGCUAGCCUCGAGGUAAAGAGUCAUGGAGGUAGAGCACUGUUUGGACUAGGGGCCCUUCUCGGGUUACCGAAUUCAGAUAAACUCCGAAUGCCAUGUACUUAUACUCGGGAGUCAGACUGCGAGUGAUAAGAUCCGUAGUCGAAAGGGAAACAGCCCAGACCACCAGUUAAGGUCCCCAAAUAUAUGUUAAGUGGAAAAGGAUGUGGGGUUGCUUAGACAACCAGGAUGUUGGCUUAGAAGCAGCCACCAUUGAAAGAGUGCGUAAUAGCUCACUGGUCGAGUGACCCCGCGCCGAAAAUGUACCGGGGCUAAACAUAUUACCGAAACUGUGGAUGAACCUCUUUAGAGGUUCGUGGUAGGAGAGCGUUCUAAGGGCGGUGAAGUCAGACCGGAAGGACUGGUGGAGCGCUUAGAAGUGAGAAUGCCGGUAUGAGUAGCGAAAGAAGGGUGAGAAUCCCUUCCACCGAAUAUCUAAGGUUUCCUGAGGAAGGCUCGUCCGCUCAGGGUUAGUCGGGACCUAAGCCGAGGCCGAUAGGCGUAGGCGAUGGACAACAGGUAGAGAUUCCUGUACCAGUGCUAAUUGUUUAACCGAUGGGGUGACACAGAAGGAUAGGGAAUCGCACGAAUGGAAAUGUGCGUCCAAGCAGUGAGUGUGAGAAGUAGGCAAAUCCGCUUCUCGCGAAGCAUGAGCUGUGAUGGGGAAGGAAAUUAAGUACGGAAGUUCCUGAUUUCACGCUGUCAAGAAAAGCCUCUAGGAAGAGUAGUACUGCCCGUACCGCAAACCGACACAGGUAGAUGAGGAGAGAAUCCUAAGGUGAGCGAGAGAACUCUCGUUAAGGAACUCGGCAAAAUGACCCCGUAACUUCGGGAGAAGGGGUGCUCUAUUAGGGUGCAAGCCCGAGAGAGCCGCAGUGAAUAGGCCCAGGCGACUGUUUAGCAAAAACACAGGUCUCUGCAAAACCGUAAGGUGACGUAUAGGGGCUGACGCCUGCCCGGUGCUGGAAGGUUAAGAGGAGUGCUUAGCUUCGGCGAAGGUACGAAUUGAAGCCCCAGUAAACGGCGGCCGUAACUAUAACGGUCCUAAGGUAGCGAAAUUCCUUGUCGGGUAAGUUCCGACCCGCACGAAAGGCGCAACGAUCUGGGCACUGUCUCAACGAGAGACUCGGUGAAAUUAUAGUACCUGUGAAGAUGCAGGUUACCCGCGACAGGACGGAAAGACCCCGUGGAGCUUUACUGCAACCUGAUAUGGAAUGUUUGUACCGCUUGUACAGGAUAGGUAGGAGCCGAAGAGACGUGUGCGCUAGCAUACGAGGAGGCAAUGGUGGGAUACUACCCUGGCUGUAUGACCAUUCUAACCCGCCACGCUUAGCGCGUGGGGAGACAGUGUCAGGUGGGCAGUUUGACUGGGGCGGUCGCCUCCUAAAGAGUAACGGAGGCGCCCAAAGGUUCCCUCAGAAUGGAUGGAAAUCAUUCGCAGAGUGUAAAGGCACAAGGGAGCUUGACUGCGAGACUGACAAGUCGAGCAGGGACGAAAGUCGGGCUUAGUGAUCCGGUGGUUCCGCAUGGAAGGGCCAUCGCUCAACGGAUAAAAGCUACCCCGGGGAUAACAGGCUUAUCUCCCCCAAGAGUCCACAUCGACGGGGAGGUUUGGCACCUCGAUGUCGGCUCGUCGCAUCCUGGGGCUGUAGUCGGUCCCAAGGGUUGGGCUGUUCGCCCAUUAAAGCGGCACGCGAGCUGGGUUCAGAACGUCGUGAGACAGUUCGGUCCCUAUCCGUCGCGGGCGCAGGAAAUUUGAGAGGAGCUGUCCUUAGUACGAGAGGACCGGGAUGGACACACCGCUGGUGUACCAGUUGUUCCGCCAGGAGCAUCGCUGGGUAGCUAUGUGUGGCAGGGAUAAACGCUGAAAGCAUCUAA